This 372-nucleotide ribosomal RNA is filed under the name uncultured organism. Its description in RNAcentral is "partial 16S ribosomal RNA". It matches the Rfam family "Bacterial small subunit ribosomal RNA", at positions 527 to 896 of the family's 1533-position model. The record is from RNAcentral.
GAACCGUACGAACGUUAUUCGGAAUCACUGGGCUUAAAGGGUGCGUAGGCGGCCAGGCAAGUUGGGUGUGAAAUCCCUCGGCUCAACCGAGGAACUGCGCUCAAAACUGCUUGGCUAGAGGGAGAUAGAGGUGAGCGGAACUUAGGGUGGAGCGGUGAAAUGCGUUGAUAUCCUAAGGAACGCCUGUGGCGAAAGCGGCUCACUGGAUCUCUUCUGACGCUGAGGCACGAAAGCCAGGGUAGCGAACGGGGGAUUAGAUACCCCGGUAGUCCUGGCUGUAAACGAUGAGCACUGGGUUGAGGCUCCUCCAUAGGCUUCCGGCCGAAGCGAAAGUGUUAAGUGCUCCGCCUGGGGAGUAUGGUCGCAAGGCUG